GUGAGGAAUAUUCCGCAAUGGGCGAAAGCCUGACGGAGCGACGCCGUGUGGAUGAUGAAGUCCUUCGGGAUGUAAAAUCCUGUCAGAGGGGAAGAUAUUGACGGUACCCUCAGAGGAAGCCCCGGCUAACUACGUGCCAGCAGCCGCGGUAAUACGUAGGGGGCGAGCGUUGUCCGGAAUCAUUGGGCGUAAAGCGCGCGUAGGCGGUGACUUAAGUCGAGUGUAAAAGGUAUGGGCUCAACUCAUAUUCCGCGCUCGAUACUGGGUCGCUUGAGAGAGUCAGAGGGAAGCGGAACUUCCGGUGUAGCGGUGAAAUGCGUAGAUAUCGGAAGGAACACCAGUGGCGAAGGCGGCUUCCUGGGACUCUUCUGACGCUGAGGUGCGAAAGCUAGGGGAGCAAACGGGAUUAGAUACCCGAGUAGUCC
This 425-nucleotide ribosomal RNA is filed under the name uncultured bacterium. Its description in RNAcentral is "bacterial SSU rRNA". It matches the Rfam family "Bacterial small subunit ribosomal RNA", at positions 354 to 796 of the family's 1533-position model. The record is from RNAcentral.